This 497-nucleotide ribosomal RNA is filed under the name uncultured bacterium. RNAcentral describes it as "partial 16S ribosomal RNA". It matches the Rfam family "Bacterial small subunit ribosomal RNA", at positions 28 to 507 of the family's 1533-position model. The record is from RNAcentral.
GAUGAACGCUGGCGGCGUGCCUAAUACAUGCAAGUCGAGCGAACAGACGAGGAGCUUGCUCCUUCGACGUUAGCGGCGGACGGGUGAGUAACACGUAGGUAACCUACCUAUAAGACUGGGAUAACUUCGGGAAACCGGAGCUAAUACCGGAUAAUAUUUCGAACCGCAUGGUUCGAUAGUGAAAGAUGGCUUUGCUAUCACUUAUAGAUGGACCUGCGCCGUAUUAGCUAGUUGGUAAGGUAACGGCUUACCAAGGCAACGAUACGUAGCCGACCUGAGAGGGUGAUCGGCCACACUGGAACUGAGACACGGUCCAGACUCCUACGGGAGGCAGCAGUAGGGAAUCUUCCGCAAUGGGCGAAAGCCUGACGGAGCAACGCCGCGUGAGUGAUGAAAGUCUUCGGAUCGUAAAACUCUGUUAUUAGGGAAGAACAAACGUGUAAGUAACUGUGCACGUCUUGACGGUACCUAAUCAGAAAGCCACGGCUAACUACGUG